GGUCCUAUAGCUCAGUUGGUCAGAGCGUCGUACUAAUACUCAUGAUUAUUCAUAGUAUCGGUAAUGCGAAGGCCGUGAGUUCAAGCCUCACUGGGACCA
Molecule: non-coding RNA, 99 nt
Organism: Astrocystis sublimbata
Lineage: Eukaryota; Fungi; Ascomycota; Sordariomycetes; Xylariales; Xylariaceae
Source: the annotation of a GenBank genome assembly